This is a long non-coding RNA of Chrysemys picta bellii (western painted turtle), 489 nucleotides long. RefSeq lists it as uncharacterized. The record is from RefSeq and is a predicted model, not a curated record. NCBI's taxonomy places the organism in Eukaryota, Metazoa, Chordata, Testudines, Emydidae.
GAGCAUGCGCAGUCAGGCACAGUCCGCUAUAUAAGGGGGUGCUCGCGGAUAGGCGCUCCCUUUUUCGUUCCCUUCGCUGAGGGUAGCGGUCCACCAAGCAGGCGCGGGCAACAUGUGCUGGAGACCUGGCCUGGUAGAGCAAGGCCAGGCGCGGCCCCAGGAUAGAACCAGCAGGAAGCGCCGGUGCUCUGGUUAUGAACCCACUGUGUCCAUUGCCCCCUGUGACCCUCAUGGAGGAGGCAGCGGUCCAUGGCAGCAAGGUGGGAGCAACAUGAGCCUGGGAUACCUGGCUCACUGAGAGAAAGGUGCCAUGGUGACCUGAAGCAGACUUGGAAAAAGUGGUCACUGUCCUGGUUAACAAGCCACUUGUGAGCCAUUAAUAGGGGAGAGUGGGACUAUUAUGUUGUCCAUAGACAUAGACUUGAGGAUCUUCUAAAGGUGAAGGAGUUGUCAAUGUCAGCACGAAGCAGAAGUUGCCCUGUGAAGUAG